Nerophis lumbriciformis (worm pipefish) is the source of this 601-nucleotide long non-coding RNA. RefSeq lists it as uncharacterized. The record is from RefSeq and is a predicted model, not a curated record. Lineage: Eukaryota; Metazoa; Chordata; Actinopteri; Syngnathiformes; Syngnathidae.
UUUAUUGUUCGUUGGCAUUAGGGAUGUAACAAUAAAGUGUUGAAAAAUAUGAAGGACUUUAACCGCAUGUGGCGCUCUCGUUUUCACUCAACACUCUCACAAUCGCACCCGGAAACAAACCCCCACCUCUGGAAUCAAACCCCGCCUACUUCUCUGCGCGCAAAAUUCAUUUGUGCAAAAGACGGGUUAGUGUGAGGAGCUCCUCAAAACUCCGGAGCUUUAAGGAAGAACGUACAGAAAGCAAAAAGAACUUACAGCGGGAGCAUGUAAGACCCUCGCCGUCUUUUUCGAUGAUGUUGUCCGUGAGCAAGCCUUCGUUGUCGGGAGUCUUUGCCGGGAAAAAAGCCUCUUCCUCGGGACUCUGUGGCGUAAGAAAAGCCUCCUUUCCACCCGGAGCAAAAAGGGAACAUUUGCCGGCUGCGGGACUCGUGGGACUGGAACCCUGAGAGCUGAAACAAGCAAAUAUCUCCUGUCUGAUAUUUGAAAACAUAUCCAAAAGAUCCAACCAUUCCGUAAGCAUCCAAGCACCAUUUCUCACGCAAAGACUCGGUUGGAGGAAUUUGAGUGCGUUUAAAAAAAACCUCUACUUUUGCGAGGAGCG